Molecule: long non-coding RNA, 812 nt
Organism: Candoia aspera
Lineage: Eukaryota; Metazoa; Chordata; Lepidosauria; Squamata; Candoiidae
Exons: 2
Source: RefSeq, a predicted model, not a curated record
UCAGAAACUAUACCUAUAUAUGUAUGUUACAUAUGUAUCUCAUAUGCAGCCAUACAUAUAUAUUUAUUCUUCUUAUGUAGGUGAGUGAACAGAAGGUGGGACAGCUAUGCUGCCGGCCGCCAAUGGGAGCACAACGUGGUGUAGGUGGCGGCAAUCAUAGUCCCCCAGACUGGCACACAGGCAGACGACAGACACACAAAAAAGGAAGAAAUGAUCAAGACGUUGGCACAAUGAGGAGGAAUAAUUUAUGGAAGCCUGUGCCACAAACGAUUUGGUGAGAAAAGAGAACUGAGUGCAAUCAUCACAACCCUGAUACUGUGCUUCAAAUCCUUAAAUUACACUUUCAUGUAAUUCUUAGCAAGCAUGGUAAGCAAAAUGGAAUCCUGUGGGAUCUCCUUGGCCAAUUUUCACAGAAAAUGAUUGCCAGGACCAUUUCUGAAGCCAGCUUGUGAGAUAGGAAAAGAAGCAAUGCAUGGCAAUUUAUUUCACUUUUAAUCUAGGAAAGUGAUUCAGAACUAUACCACUGUUACUGCUGUCAGUGGCUAUUGCUGGAGAAUCAACAGUGUCAGCGCUCCCUGAUCCUCUCUUGCUUCUAUCCGGGACUCAGACUGAAAUAAAUCCAGAAAAUCUGAUCCAAUCAAAAUAGCCAACCAGAUUUGCUACUUGGUCAGAUUUACUGAUAACUGCAACCUUGACACUUAUCUAUAAUUCUGCAGUAUCAUACAAGAAAGGUUCUUUCAAAGAAUAAUCUUAGAGCAAUAGCUCUCUUGAAAUCUUGACACAAUGAAAAUUUAAUAAUUUCAACCCAGGCA